Long non-coding RNA from Ceratitis capitata (Mediterranean fruit fly), 1315 nucleotides. RefSeq lists it as uncharacterized. The transcript is spliced from 5 exons. Lineage: Eukaryota; Metazoa; Arthropoda; Insecta; Diptera; Tephritidae. The record is from RefSeq and is a predicted model, not a curated record.
UCGGUCUUAAUUUUACACAUACAUGACAGUUCCAUGUUUGGCAACUAUGGUGUUCUGAAUCCAAGAGGAAGAAGAAGGGGUCUUCGUAAAAGCCAUGCAUGGUGCAGAUAGAUUCCCACUGCUUCUAUUAUCAAAUGACAAUGGACGAUGAAGCACUACUGCAGGCGCAUUACUGGUAGUGGUUAGAAGCCUUAUGUGAUUCAGUGAUUGAUGUUUUAAGACUUUCCUUGAAGAUUCCUACACAUCUUUUUGCACCGUUGUUUGUAUAAAGCUCCUGAAAGGUAGAGGCAAUGAGUUGCAGUCCAUUGACAAAAGGAUAAACGAUGAGUCGGCAUUAAGAGAAAGAACCUCUGUGAAGGCAAACACCAUAGACCAUGAUCGAUCCACCCUUUACGUGAUGCAUGCAGAUUACUCUUACUAGAUCAUGUCAACCGUAUGGAAGGAAUGUCCGGUGCAUUACACGCAGAAUAACACCCCUCAAGGAAGACCAAACUGUAUAAGUCUCUCAUCAAUCCCGUCCUGCUAUGUAUAAAGUGCGAAAGUAUGGACGAUGACAACAUCUAAUGAGUCGGAGUUAGGAGUUUUCGAGAGAAGGGUUUUGCGUAAGAUUUAUGGUACGCUGCACGUUGAGAGCGACGAAUACUGCAGCCGAUAGAACGAUGUGCUGUAUGAGACAUACGGCGACAAUUACAUAGUUAAUCGGCUACGUUGGCUAGGUCAUCUGGUCCGAAUGGAUGAAAGCACUCCAGCUUUCCAGGUUUUCGAUGCAGUAUUUGAAGGAGGAAGCCAAAAAAGAGUAGGGCCUCCACUCAGUGGAAAAGACCAGACGGAGAAGGACCUGGCUGUACUUGGUACUUGCUAAUGGCUGUUUACCCGGCUAUAAUCGCGUAAAAGAUGUCGACGCCAGUAAAGAUCAAGAACUGAAACUAGCCUAAGAGAAGAGCAAAGAGACUUGCCAUCCUAUUGAAAAUCCCUCUCUCAACUUUCAUAGCAUUUUGGCUCAAAAAUCUGUUAAAAGAAAGGUGAAGAAAACAAUUAAAACGUAAGCAUAAUAAUAAUUGGUGUUGACUGCAACUUCGGCGGGGAGCUUAUUGAAGUGACGAACUUUCAAAUAAACAAAACAACUCAAAUGACAACUGCCACCUUUACACUCAUUAUGACUCAAUCUCCUAGCUAUCCUAUAUUCCAGAAUAUUGUUUAUUCGGUCCGUCAGAGUAUAUAAUAUUAUAAUACCUUGUCAUAAAUCACAGCAAUCAUCAAGCAACUUCAAGAGCCACAUAUAUAUGCAUUUUAAUGUCCGAAUUCCAACAUAGAC